This is a non-coding RNA of Rattus norvegicus (Norway rat), 10007 nucleotides long. The record is from RefSeq and is a predicted model, not a curated record. Lineage: Eukaryota; Metazoa; Chordata; Mammalia; Rodentia; Muridae.
UUAGAAAAUAGAUGAUAAGCACUCUCUUCUCUCUCUCUCUCUCUCUCUCUCUCUCUCUCUCUCUCUCUCUCUCUCACUCACUCUGUUUCUACCUCUCCCCCUCUCAUGGGUGGUUGUGUCCGUGUCUGUGAGUGUGUGUGUGUGUGCAUGUGUGUGUGUUUCUGUGUCUGUGUGUGUGUGUGUAUGUGUGUGUGUGUGUGUGUGUAUGUGUGUGUGAGAAACUGAAGGUGAGCUCAGGGUCUGCAUGACCCAGUUGGAACUAGAAUCCCAUGUUGAUUGACUCCCACCUUGACAAGUAUCAUGUUGUUGGGAUGACCAGCAUGUGACUAUUGGGACAAGAUAGAAGUAUUUACAAAGCCAACAGUUUUGACCAAUUUAUGCGAAUUAGGGCAGAUUUGAGAGUACACUUAAGAGUUUUAAACUUUGUUUGAAAAAACAAAAAACAGUGUUCUUGGAAUAGUUUCUUUGGAGUAGAGCGCAUAAGGCCAAAUUUUAACUGAUUGUUGGUGAGCACCUGUGGGUUUUUGUGUUCCUUAUGUAGUAUCCCUUAGGUUUGGGUCAGACAAUGUAAACCUUAUCAUUUCCACUGUUGUUAACAUCUCAAAUGAUGUCCCACGUCCUAGGUGCCAAUCCACAAAUGCCCACUCCUACAUCUUCUCCCUCCUCCCUCCAUUUUGCCACUAUGAUGCUGCUCCUAAACUCACCCAACUUUUCGAAACCCACCACUCCAGCCUCCUCCUAUGUUCGAGCAUCACAUCUCCACAGGACCAAGGGCCUUCCAUUCCAUUGGUUUCAAAUAAUGUCAUCCUCUGAUGUAUAUUGAUUGGUGGUCUAUUUUCUGGAAGCUCUGGGUCAUCAGCCAGCAUAUAUUGUUCUUCCUCUAUUGCAGGACCUCCUCUGUCACAGGACAUCCACUGUUUAAGCACCACCACUACCUCAGGAAGUCCACUGUCUGUGUGUCAACUCCACUGUUACAGGACCACAAGUGUCUCAGCACUUCAACUAUCACAGCACUUCUACUGUUCAGGAGCUCAAGAGUCUCAGCAUCUCAAGUGUCACAGGACCUCCUUUGCCCAAGAACUGGACUGUCCAAGCAAUACUGCUAUUGCGGGACCUCCACUGUCACAGGAUUUCCACUGUAGGAGCACUACAACUGUCUCAGGACACCCACUGUCCUAUAACCUCCACUAUCCCAGGAAUUCCACUGUCAUAGCACCACCCGUAGCAACUAAAGUGUUUCAGGACAUCAACUGAAGCAAGAUCUCCCAUGAUUCUGCAACUUCACUGCCCCAGGAUCUCUACAGUGACAGGAAUACCCCUGUAUCAGCAAUUCCAAUUUUGCAGGACCUCCACUGUAGCAGAACCUCAAUUGUGCAGCAGCUCCCCUGUAUGUAGAUUGACCUCCACGAUCUCAGUGCCUCCACUUUCAAAGGACCUUCACUGUCACAGAACCGGCGCUAUUUCAGUGCCUCCACUGUCGCAGGACCUACCUCUUCACAGGAUCUGCACUGUUGCAGCAACUGUAAUUUCAAUUUUUCAAAGUCAUUGCUGGUUAUUAGAUUUCAGGCUGAAUGAAAUGAGAUGUUACUUUUGAAAGCUUAAGAAUUUGUUCUAUACCUCUUGUGAUAAAUGCCGUGUGUGCUAGGACCAGUAAAGUAUGGAAGACUUCUUCAGCUCAUACCACUCUCCACCUCACUUUGUGGAAGCUGGUGUUUUUAGAGUGUGAUAAACUUCAGGUGAAUGGAUGCAUUCAGCUGCACCACGCUCUAGAGUGGGCUACACAGCAGUCAUAUUGAGUCCUUGCUGGGAAGAGAAGAAAUCCAGAAGAGGGAGAAGGCUUGGGUUGGGGGAAGAAUCAUAAAAUACUUAGAGGAUAUUAGAAGGUAAGAAUUAUGGGGAACUGGAAAACAGAGCCAAAGGAAGAAUGAGCACAGAGCAAACUGGGAAGGACAAAGUACAAAGGCACUUGGGUUUUGCCAUCUGCGUGUUCUCUGGACAAUCUCCCUGGGCCACAUUUCUGGGAGAAAACUCUUCCCCCACCCCCUUGUAAGGUUUCAUUCUUGAAGGAAAGCAGCAACACAACUUCAUCAGUGAAUUUCCCCAUUGGAAUUGGUUCAUCCUUUAAUGCCUCUGGGAAAUCCCGAGCUGGGGAAUGUCCUGCUCUCUGCUGAGAGACAGCAGGAAAGUAGGUCGUCCUCUGUUUUCUCGUUGCUACAGCUCUUCUAAGUAUGGCUGAUUGUUGAGUGAAGACACAGGAUACUUCUGGUGUGUAUGUAUGCUUUGUUCACUGUGGGUGUUGUUGGGAGUGUCCUGAAAAGAAGGGCAUGCCCAAUGGCACUUCUGCUUCCUCUUUGACUAGCCUUAUGAUCAUAGGGAGACACUAGGCCAUUGGAAGAUGAGGAGAGCAAUGUGUCUAAGUUGUGUUCACUUCUAUUCCUAUUUAGUCCUAGAGGGAAAUCAGCAAGGGUGUGAGGAAUGCUGCUGUGCACUGACUGUGUGGUGUGAGAAAUGCUGCUGUGCACUGACUGUGUGGUGUGAGGAAUGCUGCUGUGCACUGACUGUGUGCUGUGAGGAAUGCUGCUGUGCACUGACAGUGUGCUGUGAGGAAUGCUGCUGUGCAUUGACGCUGCCUUUUUUCUUUUCUCCCUACACCUGCAUCCUUCUGGUGGCUCAUGUUGGACAACUAGGUGCCCAUGACCAACUCCUCAUUGUGGAUGGAUUUAGUCUGGUUGGACUUUCUCAGGAAAGGUAUGACUAAUUGGUUACUUUAAAGCUGAUUGGUUAGUCUUACUGUAUUGAAGUGAUAUUUUGCUUUUUAUUUUGAAAUUUGAAUGCAAAAAGAAGUGCUGUAAAAGCUCUUUGUGUUUACUCAUCCCCUGUAUGCAGGAGACAGGUCUCUUAGGGCAGGUGAAAUGUUGCCUGUACGUUCUUUAAUUUGCAUGAGUUGGCUGCAAGGAGUUGUUAAUGUAAGGCGCACAACACAUCAUUCAUCUAAAAUGUGAGCCUCCUGAUCCAAUGUAAAUGUUUGAGAUUGAAUAUCUAAUUCAUAAUUUAAUUUCCAAAAUUCUAGAGAAAGGUUUCAGAUUUGAUGCUAGGGAUUUUAUUUUUAUCAAUUCAAAUCACUAGAAUACUAAUCAUUAGUGGAAAGCAAAGGUGACAGUUCUAUUAGAGUUAACUAAUACUUCAGUGGUUCCAAAGGCUGUAGAGCUCUCACAGCAUUACACAGCAUUCUUGCAAGCAGGAGCAAAGACGUCCGAGAUAAAUGGGAGCUCAUGGGUGGCUGUCAAACACAGCUAUCUCAGAAGUUGUAAAUUUAGUAAAGAGAUUUAUAAACUCUGUAAGGAAAGGAAGAAGCGUGUUGCUGUGCCCCCUGUGACUUAAGUGCUAUAAGAACACUUGUGUCAGUUGAGUCUGCAUCUCUUUCUCAGCGUAACAGAUUUAUUUAAUUUUAAUUCCUGAAUUUUGCAUCCUCACUCCUCAGUUGAGCUAUGGGAGAAAGGCCUGUUUGCUUAUUUUGUGUGAAAGGUGACUUUAUGAUUUCAACACAUUUUCUUUUUCAGAAUCUCUAAUAUGGUUUCAGAAGAACUUUCUGUUCCAUAGAAAUCUGUGCAUCAGGGAAAUAAUCACAAUUUUAAAUAAAACGGAAGCAUUUGAAACCCAAAAAUUCUUUUUAAUAAGAGCUGUACGAUCAAUUGUUGAAAUACAACCAUUAGUAUUUUUUACGUUUAUCAAGUUUCCUACUUGAAAGCAUGUCUUUGUUUUUUCCUCUGUAAGAGAAUAGAAUGUCCCAGAGAGCUGAUGAAGGAUUUGCACACUUGUCUUGCCCAGGAAGUGCAUUCUCCUUGUGUCUGCAGCACAUAGGGAGCCUUUGAUAGCAUAAAAAGAAGCCUUUGAUACCUCCCAAAGAAGAGCAGGUACCUGCUGUCCCUAGUGCAUGGGAAGACAGAUGCACUCAAGAACCUGCAAGCAUCUGAAAACACUGCAUGUGUGUUUGUGAGACCUGUAGUGAAGUAGACUUGGCCAUCCCUGGACAGUGAGGUCAGAUGUGAAUAAGUGUUGCAAGAGCACAUUGAAUAGCAUACACUACUGUUGGGAAAUGUUUUCCUAAGGCCUGGACUCCCCAAACUACACACUGAUAAGCCCAUUGCCUUAAAGGUCUUCUGGUCAUUCACGUUUCAAAUGUAAGUGGCUGCUCAGUACUGAUGGAAGGAAGGUAUGUUUUAUUAUCAUGGCACAGGAUACACUGAUCCGUUCCAGCAGGCUGAAGGGUCAGUGGGAUGUUGUGUCCCCUCACCCUCAUGACUACUGUGCUUUAGCACGGGGAGCAGGACAGUGUCCAAAUCUCAGGGUUUGGGUGAAAUGUAAUGAUGGAGUUGGGAAGUUGCUGGUCAAAGGAUGUAAAGUUCAGAUGAACAGGGAAUGACUUUGAGUACUGUUACCUGUAGCCUAUGACACUCAGCAGUGUCCUAUAAAUAAUGCAAAGGAACUUUAAGAAAGGGGAAGCAUGUUUGAGGGUUUAAAAAGCUUGUGGGGAACUUUUUUGGAAGAACAGAACUUAUAUGUUGGAAUUAGUGUUUGUAUUUCUAUAUUUUAAUUUAUUUUUUUUAAUCUGUAGAGACAUCCCUUAGAAACUAGAUUUGGUGCUGACCCAGGACCAUGUCUUCUUGUGCUCCCUGUCCUGUGUGGGAUUUGUGGCUCAGGCCUACUGUGGCCCCUGGUCUCUGUACCACUUCAUUUUCUGCCAAAUCCUACAUGAGUCUUCCUUUGCCCAUUCCCAGGUAAUAAAGUGAUUUCAGAAACAGUUAUACUCAUGAAUUUAUUAUACAAUUAAGCAGAAUAGGGUGCUUGAUUGACUUGGCAGAAGAAAUUUCAUCUCCUAAAGUGUCAGGUGAUUUUGUUUGUAUAAGAAUUUUUUUCAACCUGUUCACUCACAGCGCUGGGAGGUAAGUGCCAGUCUUGAGAUUGCCUAAACGUUUUAAACAGUAUGUAGAUAGUACUGCCCCUACUCGCCCUGUGAUCCCAGGCAGUCACAUACAGAACAGGAUGGGGGAUCAGGAGACAUCAGCAGACCACAGGUGUGGAUAAAUGUUAAAGUGUGAGAAAUGAACACAGAACCUGCGGGGCCUGAUUGAAGGACCCUAUAAGACAUUGUCUGUGUGGUAGACUCUCCUGAGAUGGUAGAGUGGAAGGGGAAGGGCCUCCUCCAUUACAAGUCUCAGGGGGCAGGAUCGCCAGUGGGCUGGGAAAGUGAUGCCUCUAGGUGAGAUGGGUAUUCAAUGCCACAGUAAAUUGAUUUGUAUUUUACAAGCACUGUAAAUGCGAAGGAUAUUGAAAGGUAGCCUGGAAAACUUCAGUGUAUGGGCAUAGAGCUCAUGCGCGCGCAUGAGUGGCCAAUGAACGAUACCCGGCCCUCCUCUCUCGGACUUAGCCACGCCCUUCAUUAGUUCCUGAGGGGAUUUUUCAGAACAGAGGUUAUGGCAGUUUCACCAUCCAAUUCCAGUGAGUAUGAGGGGAGCCCAUGGAGUUUGAAACCACUCCUUUCUGCUCUCAGGGAUGUGGGGAAAAUAAGAGAAUUUGGGUUGGCUUAGUAGCACUAUUUUGUGAGUCUUAGCUUGAGUUCCCUCGGGAUGGAGACCAACUGCUUCUUUUCCGAAUCUUAGGGAAGUUGACCCGUUUUCUCCCAACUGUCCUUAUGGCUCCUUCCUCCAUCUCCCGCUUGGGGCUUCUCUGGACUCUCAUUUGCUGCAUCAGCACAUGAAGGUUCCCUGACUUGGCACCUCCUUAUGCUGAACAUCAGCAGACUCCAUACUGAGCAGGAUUUGGGAGUACAGCUGUUAAUACCAAUAAUUAUGUAACUGUACUCGUUGCCCUCUUAGAGCACACCGCAGAAAAAUAGAUUGAUAAAAGUGAACAAAAAUAUAAACAUCAUGUGUGGUAAUGGCUCCCAAGCAGAGAAUCUGAACCUUACAGCAGCCCCACCUAAGAUUUAUGAACAGGAAACCGGGAAGGGGAAUGACAUUUGAAGUGUAAGUAAAGAAAUGUAUCUAAUAAAAAAUUAAAAAACAAAAACAGACAAAUAAACAAAGAAGUCUAUGUUGUGAACAUAAUCAGAAAGAUGAUCUGAUCUGCCUCUUUUGUUUGUGUGUGUGUGUGUGUGUUUUACCUUGACUUCCGUAGUCAAUGGAGUUCAGAUAACUGUAGGAAUGCAUUUUAUGGUUUAGAGGCACUGAUAGGAUCAUUCCUUUACUUAUGCUCCCCCUACUAGUUUUCUUACACAUAUCUCAUCAAGAUUUAAGCUGUUAUGCAUCCAUAAAUCUUAAUGCUUACUAAAUCAUUUUAACUUUCCUAUUCUUUUCAUCUUCUUUAAUAUUCCUGGUACCUAAAUAAUACAAUCCUGUAAAAGGUGAUUCAAAUUUAGCUGGUAGACUGAUACGCCUCUUAAAACACAUGACUUAGGAAACAAGCUAACCUACAUUAUGGCUGAUUGGUGCAUGGGAAAACAGAUUAAUUCUAAAUUAAAUAUAUUAGACUAUUUAAAAUAGUCCUGCUUUAAUAUUUGUAAUCAUAUCAAACUUUAAAUAUAGGAUUAUAAAGCCUGUGAUUUGACUGUACUAUACUGCAUUCUCCAUAUAGAUUUCUACAUAAAUUACUGAAAAUUUCUUGGCAAAAACUUAUUAUGUGAGCACCUUUAAAACUAAUACCACUGGGGCUUUUCCAUUUAAUGGGGAUAUGAACCGUAUGUUUAAAUACAGGUAAAAGUAGAUUUACACUUAGCAGCCAACUAAGUAACCUGGAUGUAGUCACUUAUAUUCAAUUGAGUAGUUGCUUGUAGAAGGGAGCACAAACUGCAGAUCAGGUAUUUCAAGGAGCUCUCUUGGUAUAAACUUAGCCCUAGCUAAUUUGGCCAUAGGGAAUUCAUGGUCCUUCUGAUACUUGAUCAGUCCAAGCCAAACUUCCUACACAAAAGGUCAGGAUGCAGUUCCUCCUGUCUCUAUGUCUUUUUUUUUUUAUUAACUUGAGUAUUUCUUAUUUACAUUUCGAUUGUUAUUCCCUUUCCCGGUUUCCAAGCCAACAUCCCCCCAAGCCCUCCCACUCCCCUUAUCUAUGGGUGUUCCCCUCCCCAUCCUCCACCAUUACCACCCUCCCCACAACAAUCACAUUCACUGGGGGGUUUAGUCUUGGCAGGACCAAGGGCUUCCCUUUCCACUGGUGCUCUUACUAGGCUAUUCAUUGCUACCUAUUAGGUUGGAGCCCAGGGUCAGUCCAUGUAUAGUCUUUGGGAAGUGGCUUAGUCCCUGGAAGCUCUGGUUGCUUGGCAUUGUUGUUCAUAUGGGGUCUCGAGCCCCUUCGAGCUCUUUUAGUCCUUUCUCUGAUCUUAUCUGCCUCUUAAAAUUCAGUUUUUAGCAGGUGUGCUUCCUGGCCAAAGGAGUCAGAUGAGUGCAUGAGCAGCCCCUUCGAGGACAAGGCUUGGAUUCCCAGGAGCAGACAAGGAACUCUGUGGGCAUACUCCAAGGAAACUGGACCUCCUCUGUCACAGGACUUCCACUGUUUAAGCACCACCACUACCUCAGGAAGUCCACUGUCUGUGUGUCAACUCCACUGUUACAGGACCACAAGUGUCUCAGCACUUCAACUAUCACAGCACUUCUACUGUUCAGGAGCUCAAGAGUCUCAGCAUCUCAAGUGUCACAGGACCUCCUUUGUCCAAGAACUGGACUGUCCAAGCAACACUACUAUUGCAGGACUUCCACUGUAGGAGCACUACAACUGUCUCAGGACACCCACUGUCCUAUAACCUCCACUAUCCCAGGAAUUCCACUGUCGUAGCACCACCCGUAGCAACUAAAGUGUUUCAGGACAUCAACUGAAGCAAGAUCUCCCAUGAUUCUGCAACUUCACUGCCACAGGAUCUCUACAGUGACAGGAAUACCCCUGUAUCAGCAAUUCCAAUUUUGCAGGACCUCCACUGUAGCAGAACCUUCAAUUGUGCAGCAGCUCCCCUGUAGGUAGAUUGACCUCCACGAUCUCAGUGCCUCCACUUUCAAAGGACCUUCACUGUCACAGAACCGGCGCCAUUUCAGUGUCUCCACUGUUGCAGGACCUACCUCUUCACAGGAUCUGCACUGUUGCAGCAACUGUAAUUUCAAUUUUUCAAAGUCAUUGCUGGUUAUUAGAUUUGAGCCUGAAUGAAAUGUGAUGCUACUUUUGAAAGCAUAAGAAUUUGUUCUAUAGCUCUUGUGAUAAAUGCCGUGUGUGCUCGGACCACUAAACUAUGGAAGAUUUCAUGAGCUCAUACCACUCUCCACCUCACUUUGUGGAAGCUGGUGUUUUUAGAGUGUGAUAAACUUCAGGUGAAUGGAUGCAUUCAGCUGCACCACGCUCUAGAGUGGGAUACACAGCAGUCAUAUUGAGUCCUUGCUGGGAAGAGAAGAAAUCCAGAAGAGGGAGAAGGCUUGGGUUGGGGGAAGAAUCAUAAAAUACUUAGAGGAUAUAAGAAGGUAAGAAUUAUGGGGAACAGGAAAACAGAGCCAGAGGAAGAAUGAUCACAGAGCAAACUGGGAAGGACAAAGUACAAAGGCACGUGGGUUUUGCCAUCUGCGUGUUCUCUGGACAUUCUCCCUUGGCCUCAUUUCUGGGAGAAAACUCUUCCUCCACCCCCUUGUAAGGUUUUAUUCUUGAAGGAAAGCAGUCACACAACUUCAUCAGUGAAUUUCCCCAUUGUAAUUGGUUCAUCCUUUAAUGCCUCUGGGAAAUCCCCAGCUGGGGAAUGUCCUGCUCUCUGCUGAGAGACAGCAGGAAAGUAGGUUGUCUUCUGUUUUCUCGUUGCUACAGCUCUUCUAAGUGUGGCUAAUGGUUGAGUGAAGACACAGGACACUUCUGGUGUGUAUGUAUGCUUUGUUCACUGUGGGUGUUGUCGGGAGUGUCCUGAAAAGAAGGGCAUGCCCAAUGGCUCUUUGCUUCCUCUUUGACUAGCCUUAUGAUCAUAGGGAGACACUAGGCCAUUGGAAGAUGAGGAGAACAAUGUGUCUAUGUUGUGUUCACUUCUGUUCCUAUUUAGUCCUAGAGGGAAAUCAGCAAGGGUAGAGAAUGGGACCGUAACUGGACAAAGCUGCUGAGCCUGUGUUGUGAAGCAAUUCCUGUGUAUAACUUGCUGUUACAUUAAGCAAUAGGAUGCCAUGUUCUGGUUAUACCUUUUUGAUGCAAUGAAUCUAUAAUAUUUUACCUCAAACCUCAAUAUAUUACGUUUCUUCCUCUUUUGGAGUAUCUGGCAUGAGAGGGAUCACUUCUUCAUAAGGAUUUGUGAACCUCUUCCAGUUUUCAUUGACCAGGGGUACAUCAUCACCUCUGUGACUGUCAGCCCAUAGUUCGGAUUGACUUUUAUUAAGAGGCUAAGCUGCCUCCUCUGACACCCCACAGUGAGCAGGGUACACACCUGCUACAACCUGUCUUCUGAACUGUUGUAUGACAACAGAGUCAAAUACAACAGUGAAAUAUAAGCCUACUCCUAAGAUCCAUAUGUUGUUGGUUUUUUUUUUUUUUGCACCAUCAUAAAGUUGUCCUAGGAAGAGAUCAGGUGCACCAAUAGGGUAAGCACCAUGCUGCCAGUUCAGCAUUUGCCCAGGUUUGUCUUGAGUUGAAGGCCAAAGUCGAUGCUUUUGACUUUUCUGUUCUUCUCUAACAAAAUAUAAUCUGGUUUAAGGUCGCUGUGAACUUAUACAGUGCCCAUAGCCAUAGAUAAAGCCUGCUAAUAUUUGCCUAAAUAUUUCCUUGGCUCCUUCCUCCUCUCGGUGGAAAGACUUUCAGAUGUAUUUGUAAAGCUUUAAAAUUUCAACCAGUUUCACGAUAAGUUAUUAGAAUUGUCUCAGACUCAAUUGGAGAAGCAAGAUGAUGUUGGGGUGGAUGAAAAACUUCAUUAUAUUUGCCAUGGUCAUGUUUGGCUGGCACCAUUGCUUCUUCUUUGCAUGCACUUUGAUAACCCCUGUAGCAGAACUUCCACUGUCCCAGCA